CCAAACUCUAUUCUCCUUUUUUUUUCAAAAUUCACAAACCUUAGAUCUAUUCCAAAGCUUAUCAGAUCUGCACUUCAAAGAGAAACCGAGACUUCAAAAGUUUGAGUUCAUUUUGUCCAAGCUCAGAUCUGCACAAAAGCAUCUCAUAUAUGCCUCUCGUCGCUGUCUCCUCACGUCAUCGACCACUUCGUCCGCCACCUCUGCCACCUCGCUGUAGACUCA
RNAcentral lists this long non-coding RNA (222 nucleotides) under Vigna radiata. RNAcentral describes it as "long non-coding RNA (VRAD_LNC011102)". The record is from RNAcentral. Lineage: Eukaryota; Viridiplantae; Streptophyta; Magnoliopsida; Fabales; Fabaceae.